UCGAACGGCAGCACGGGUGCUUGCACCUGGUGGCGAGUGGCGAACGGGUGAGUAAUACAUCGGAACAUGUCCUGUAGUGGGGGAUAGCCCGGCSAAAGCCGGAUUAAUACCGCAUACGAUCCACGGAUGAAAGCGGGGGACCUUCGGGCCUCGCGCUAUAGGGUUGGCCGAUGGCUGAUUAGCUAGUUGGUGGGGUAAAGGCCUACCAAGGCGACGAUCAGUAGCUGGUCUGAGAGGACGACCAGCCACACUGGGACUGAGACACGGCCCAGACUCCUACGGGAGGCAGCAGUGGGGAAUUUUGGACAAUGGGCGAAAGCCUGAUCCAGCAAUGCCGCGUGUGUGAAGAAGGCCUUCGGGUUGUAAAGCACUUUUGUCCGGAAAGAAAUCCUUGGCUCUAAUACAGUCGGGGGAUGACGGUACCGGAAGAAUAAGCACCGGCUAACUACGUGCCAGCAGCCGCGGUAAUACGUAGGGUGCAAGCGUUAAUCGGAAUUACUGGGCGUAAAGCGUGCGCAGGCGGUUUGCUAAGACCGAUGUGAAAUCCCCGGGCUCAACCUGGGAACUGCAUUGGUGACUGGCAGGCUASAGUAUGGCAGAGGGGGGUAGAAUUCCACGUGUAGCAGUGAAAUGCGUAGAGAUGUGGAGGAAUACCGAUGGCGAAGGCAGCCCCCUGGGCCAAUACUGACGCUCAUGCACGAAAGCGUGGGGAGCAAAACAAGGAUUAGAUACCCUGGUAGUCCACGCCCUAAACGAUGUCAAACUAGUUGUUGGGGAUUCAUUUUCCUUAGUAACGUAGCUAACGCGUGAAGUUGACCGCCUGGGGAGUACGGUCGCAAGAUUAAAACUCAAAGGAAUUGACGGGGACCCGCACAAGCGGUGGAUGAUGUGGAUUAAUUCGAUGCAACGCGAAAAACCUUACCUACCCUUGACAUGGUCGGAAUCCUGCUGAGAGGCGGGAGUGCUCGAAAGARAACCGGCGCACAGGUGCUGCAUGGCUGUCGUCAGCUCGUGUCGUGAGAUGUUGGGUUAAGUCCCGCAACGAGCGCAACCCUUGUCCUUAGUUGCUACGCAAGAGCACUCUAAGGAGACUGCCGGUGACAAACCGGAGGAAGGUGGGGAUGACGUCAAGUCCUCAUGGCCCUUAUGGGUAGGGCUUCACACGUCAUACAAUGGUCGGAACAGAGGGUUGCCAACCCGCGAGGGGGAGCUAAUCCCAGAAAACCGAUCGUAGUCCGGAUUGCACUCUGCAACUCGAGUGCAUGAAGCUGGAAUCGCUAGUAAUCGCGGAUCAACAUGCCGCGGUGAAUACGUUCCCGGGUCUUGUACMCCCCKCCCUCACACCAUGGGAGUGGGUUUUACCAGAAG
This 1368-nucleotide ribosomal RNA is filed under the name Burkholderia sp. MST15SBBA. Its description in RNAcentral is "bacterial SSU rRNA". It matches the Rfam family "Bacterial small subunit ribosomal RNA", at positions 62 to 1426 of the family's 1533-position model. Lineage: Bacteria; Pseudomonadati; Pseudomonadota; Betaproteobacteria; Burkholderiales; Burkholderiaceae. The record is from RNAcentral.